CGACGUUGAUAGGUUGGAUGUGGAAGUGCGGUGACGCAUGAAGCUGACCAAUACUAAUUGCUCGUGAGGCUUGACUAUACAACACCCAAGCAGUUG
Molecule: ribosomal RNA, 96 nt
Filed under: Acinetobacter bereziniae
Lineage: Bacteria; Pseudomonadati; Pseudomonadota; Gammaproteobacteria; Moraxellales; Moraxellaceae
Description: partial 23S ribosomal RNA
Rfam family: Bacterial large subunit ribosomal RNA (bases 1-78)
Source: RNAcentral